Molecule: long non-coding RNA, 233 nt
Filed under: Olea europaea (common olive)
Lineage: Eukaryota; Viridiplantae; Streptophyta; Magnoliopsida; Lamiales; Oleaceae
Description: long non-coding RNA (OEUR_LNC008097)
Source: RNAcentral
GACUUUUAAACCCUAACUUAUUCAAUUCUAACGUGAGUUUAGAAGUUAAAGAGUCAAUGGCGGCGUUGUCGUCUAGGAAAUGGAAAGAACAAAGAGAAAAUGAGCCCAAAGAGAAAUAAAAAUAUGGAUGGAACCUCCAAAUUGUAAGAUCGGAUCUCAAAGAAAAGUUCAUGUUAUUUAUUACCUCUGUAGAUAUGGGCAACUCGAGCGCACCCCCAUUUCAUGGAGGUUAC